This 88-nucleotide transfer RNA is filed under the name Bacteroidota bacterium. Its description in RNAcentral is "Bacteroidetes bacterium (hot springs metagenome) tRNA-Ser". It matches the Rfam family "tRNA". Rfam says of the family: Transfer RNA (tRNA) molecules are approximately 80 nucleotides in length. Their secondary structure includes four short double-helical elements and three loops (D, anti-codon, and T loops). The record is from RNAcentral. RNAcentral also lists the same sequence under 1 other name. Lineage: Bacteria; Pseudomonadati; Bacteroidota.
GGAGGGAUGCCGGAGUGGUCGAACGGGCCUGACUUGAAAUCAGGUAGCUCGCUUUGCGAGCUCGGGGGUUCGAAUCCCUCUCCCUCCG